RNAcentral lists this long non-coding RNA (608 nucleotides) under Gossypium raimondii (Peruvian cotton). Its description in RNAcentral is "long non-coding RNA (GRAI_LNC006986)". Lineage: Eukaryota; Viridiplantae; Streptophyta; Magnoliopsida; Malvales; Malvaceae. The record is from RNAcentral.
AUAGUCUCACUUAAUAAGUAUCUUAUUGGGUAAGGCCUGAAGGAGGGUUGCAGAGAUUUUUGGUGGGGUGCAGUCGGAUAUGAUAAGUGGGACUUGGUGUGGUUGUACUUUAGCUUAAAGAGUUUGUCCUUGAAGUUUUGGAGAGUAAUGAAAGUUGAUGUACGUGAGGUUGUAUUAGACAUUACCUCGAGAUUUUGUUAUUGUCACCAUCGUGGACAUCAUAAAAAAUCACAAAAUUAAGGAGAUCCAAAGCCUUUUGAAUGGGUCAACAAUCAACCAGCUAAGGACUAGUACAACUAGAUCGACAACACCGUGCGCAAGCUGAUGAGGUUUAUUAAUGACGACACUCCACCAAAUGUAGGAACCUUGCUCAAGCGAGAGAAACUAAGAGCCAUUGAGACCCCCGACUAAAGAAAAUGAGAUGAACUUUGAGAGAAAAAUGUGAAAAUUGCACAUGGUGGUCCAUAAUCACUCCACUACCAUUUCAAUGGCCAAUAGCUUGAGCAGGAAGGGGAGAGAAGACCUCAGCGUUAUUUUAUAGGAGAAAGGCCCGUGGCAAUAGACCCUAGGUGGCAGAAGCUAAAAGGCCUAAUAGACCAAGAGAGAAG